RNAcentral lists this ribosomal RNA (252 nucleotides) under uncultured bacterium. RNAcentral's name for it is "partial 16S ribosomal RNA". It matches the Rfam family "Bacterial small subunit ribosomal RNA", at positions 100 to 354 of the family's 1533-position model. The record is from RNAcentral.
CGGGGUGAGUAACGCGUGAGGAACCUGCCUUUCAGAGGGGGACAACAGUUGGAAACGACUGCUAAUACCGCAUAAUAUAUGUUUGUCGCAUGGCAGAUAUAUUAAAGAUUUAUCGCUGAGAGAUGGCCUCGCGUCUGAUUAGUUAGUUGGUAGGGUAACGGCCUACCAAGGCGACGAUCAGUAGCCGGACUGAGAGGUUGGCCGGCCACAUUGGGACUGAGAUACGGCCCAGACUCCUACGGGAGGCAGCAG